RNAcentral lists this ribosomal RNA (1042 nucleotides) under Bacillus sp. NCCP-706. Its description in RNAcentral is "bacterial SSU rRNA". It matches the Rfam family "Bacterial small subunit ribosomal RNA", at positions 45 to 1067 of the family's 1533-position model. The record is from RNAcentral. Lineage: Bacteria; Bacillati; Bacillota; Bacilli; Caryophanales; Bacillaceae.
UGCUAUACAUGCAGUCGAGCGGACCGAUGGGAGCUUGCUCCCUGAGGUUAGCGGCGGACGGGUGAGUAACACGUGGGUAACCUGCCUGUAAGACUGGGAUAACUCCGGGAAACCGGGGCUAAUACCGGAUGCUUGAUUGAACCGCAUGGUUCAAUCAUAAAAGAUGGCUUCGGCUAUCACUUACAGAUGGACCCGCGGCGCAUUAGCUAGUUGGUGAGGUAACGGCUCACCAAGGCGACGAUGCGUAGCCGACCUGAGAGGGUGAUCGGCCACACUGGGACUGAGACACGGCCCAGACUCCUACGGGAGGCAGCAGUAGGGAAUCUUCCGCAAUGGACGAAAGUCUGACGGAGCAACGCCGCGUGAGUGAUGAAGGUUUUCGGAUCGUAAAACUCUGUUGUUAGGGAAGAACAAGUACCGUUCGAACAGGGCGGUACCUUGACGGUACCUAACCAGAAAGCCACGGCUAACUACGUGCCAGCAGCCGCGGUAAUACGUAGGUGGCAAGCGUUGUCCGGAAUUAUUGGGCGUAAAGCGCGCGCAGGCGGUUUCUUAAGUCUGAUGUGAAAGCCCCCGGCUCACCCGGGGAGGGUCAUUGGAAACUGGGGAACUUGAGUGCAGAAGAGGAGAGUGGAAUUCCACGUGUAGCGGUGAAAUGCGUAGAGAUGUGGAGGAACACCAGUGGCGAAGGCGACUCUCUGGUCUGUAACUGACGCUGAGGCGCGAAAGCGUGGGGAGCGAACAGGAUUAGAUACCCUGGUAGUCCACGCCGUAAACGAUGAGUGCUAAGUGGUUAAAGGGUUUCCGCCCUUUAGUGCUGCAGCAAACGCAUUAAGCACUCCGCCUGGGGGAGUACGGUCGCAAGACUGAAACUCAAAGGAAUUGACGGGGGCCCGCACAAGCGGUGGAACAUGGGGGUUUAAUUCGAAGCAACGCGAAGAACCUUACCAGGUCUUGACAUCCUCUGACACCCCUAGAGAUAGGGCUUCCCCUUCGGGGGCAGAGUGACAGGUGGUUGCAUGGUUGUCGUCAGCUCCUGUCC